Molecule: ribosomal RNA, 468 nt
Filed under: uncultured bacterium
Lineage: Bacteria
Description: partial 16S ribosomal RNA
Rfam family: Bacterial small subunit ribosomal RNA
Source: RNAcentral
GACGAACGCUGGCGGCGUGCUUAACACAUGCAAGUCGAACGGAAAGGCCCUGCUUUUGUGGGGUGCUCGAGUGGCGAACGGGUGAGUAACACGUGAGUAACCUGCCCUUGACUUUGGGAUAACUUCAGGAAACUGGGGCUAAUACCGGAUAGGAGCUCCUGCUGCAUGGUGGGGGUUGGAAAGUUUCGGCGGUUGGGGAUGGACUCGCGGCUUAUCAGCUUGUUGGUGGGGUAGUGGCUUACCAAGGCUUUGACGGGUAGCCGGCCUGAGAGGGUGACCGGCCACAUUGGGACUGAGAUACGGCCCAGACUCCUACGGGAGGCAGCAGUGGGGAAUAUUGCAGAAUGGGCGGGAGCCUGAUGCAGCAUCGCCGCGUGCGGGAUGACGGCCUUCGGGUUGUAAACCGCUUUCGCCUGUGACGAAGCGUGAGUGACGGUAAUGGGUAAAGAAGCACCGGCUAACUACGUG